Long non-coding RNA from Seriola dumerili (greater amberjack), 371 nucleotides. RefSeq lists it as uncharacterized. The transcript is spliced from 3 exons. Lineage: Eukaryota; Metazoa; Chordata; Actinopteri; Carangiformes; Carangidae. The record is from RefSeq and is a predicted model, not a curated record.
CUCCAGCGUCCGACAGUCCAACUAUCUGCUCCGGGACAGCUGUAGCAUCAACAGCAUCCCAUUCCCGCAUGUACAGGUGAACUGUCAGGAAAAAGAGCAACGGACUACCUGAGUGAUGCCUGCCGCAUGACCUGCUGGCAAGGGAUGGUGGGGGAGCUCGCACCCCGCCGAGGGAGGGGCAUGGCGGGAGCGCUUCUGCAAUUGGUGCCUCAGCUUGGCCACCUGAGGGCAGAGUGGAGAGAAAAAAUGAUUCAGGUGUUCUGCACUGCCCCACGACGCUGAGCGCUUGUGUCCUCCAACACUUCUCCUUCCCUGGGUCUCCUCUGCCCAUGAACUUGGAGUCUUUAAAACAAAUAUGACAAUGUGGUGAA